GGAGUUGUGGCUCAGCGGUAGAGUGCAUGCCUAGCACAUGUGAGGCCCUGGGUUCGAUCCUCAGCACCA
Molecule: transfer RNA, 69 nt
Filed under: Marmota marmota marmota (Alpine marmot)
Lineage: Eukaryota; Metazoa; Chordata; Mammalia; Rodentia; Sciuridae
Also listed under: 1 other name
Rfam family: tRNA
About the family: Transfer RNA (tRNA) molecules are approximately 80 nucleotides in length. Their secondary structure includes four short double-helical elements and three loops (D, anti-codon, and T loops).
Source: Rfam by way of RNAcentral